Molecule: long non-coding RNA, 1401 nt
Organism: Monodelphis domestica (gray short-tailed opossum)
Lineage: Eukaryota; Metazoa; Chordata; Mammalia; Didelphimorphia; Didelphidae
Source: Ensembl
GAAGUCACCCCUUAUUGGAUUAUGGAGAAAUUAAGAGAGUUCCAGAAAAAAAACCCAUUUAUUUCUGCUGAAUUGAAUACACUAAAGCUAUGACUGUAUGAAUCACAACAAAAUAUGGCAGUUUCUCAAAGAGAUUGGAGUACCAGAUCAUGUUGCUUAUCUCCUGAGGACUUGUAUAUGGAACAAGAAGUAACGAUGGACCUGGAAUAACUUGUUGGUUUAAGAUUGGGAAAGGAGUAUGACAAGGCUGUACAUUGUCAUCCUAUUUUUUAAACCCUUACCUUACAUCUUAGAAUCAAUACUGUGUAUUGGUUCCUGGAAGAAGAGUGGGAAGGGCUAGGCGAUGGGGGUGAAGUGACUUGCCCAGUGUCACACAGUUAUGAAGUAUCUGACUCUACAUUUGAACCCAGAACCUCCCAUCUCUAGGCUUGGCUCUCAAUCCACUGAGCUACCUAGCUGUUCCCAGACAUCAUAUUUUUUAAACUUAUUUUCAGAAUGUAUUAUGCAAAAUGCCAAUAUGGACAAAUCAAAAGCUGGAAUUAAUGUUGCUAAGAGAAAUAUCAAUCAUCUUAUAUAUGCAGAUGACAAUACUCAUGGCAGAAUGAAGAAGUGUCAAGAAGUCUUUUGAUGGGUGUGGAAGAGAAGAGUUUAAAUGCUUGCUUGAAGUUUAAAUAAAAAAACCCCAACAACCUAAAAUCAUGUCAGCUUUUCCCAUCACUAGCAAAUAGAGGGGGAAGAAAUGGAAACAGUGUCAGAUUUUAUUCUUGGGAUCAAAGAUCACUGUAGACAGUGACUGGUCAUGAAAUUAAAAGAAGCUCAUGGGAAGGAAAACUGGCAAAUUUGGAGAGUAUACUAAGAAGCAGAGACAUCAUCUUACCAACAAAGGUUUACACAUAGUUCAAAUACUGAAUCUGAAGCUUAAAUACUUUGGCGACAUAAUGAGAAGUCAGGAUUAUUAAUAAAAGCCCCUGAUGUUGGGAGAUGGCAAAAAGGGAAGAGAAAAAAAGGACAGUGCCAUGGAAGCAAUGAACAAGAGAUUAGACAGAAUUCAGGAGAUAGUGGAGGAGGACAUGAUACCACAAAUAAUAGCUUACAACUCACCUCUAUCAGAUCAUUCUGUACUUAAAUGGAAAUCAUCUGGACCAAGUGAUGAUAAUAAUUAUCAAGGACAGAGAUUCUAUUUGAAGGAGGGAUGUUGUAGCCUCUACUCAAGCCCAUGUCGCAAUGCCAACAGUUGGAGAGCCAUUAGUAAAAUUCAAGGCAUCUGUGAACAUCCUCCUGAGAGUCAGAAAGGCACCUAAGAGAAGAGUGAGUCAUGAGCCUCUGAAGGAAAUCCAGGUGUUAGAGUAAAUAUAAGGUUCUCUGCUCUGGGCUGAUGGUGAUUUGGAAGUGAAGACAUAG